Molecule: long non-coding RNA, 1367 nt
Filed under: Homo sapiens (human)
Lineage: Eukaryota; Metazoa; Chordata; Mammalia; Primates; Hominidae
Description: HSALNT0293440
Source: RNAcentral
CCGUUGCUCAGAGUCCAGGCCGGUUAGGACCAGAGCCUACCCCGGGUGGCAUGGUGAUGAUCCAGAUUCAGGAGACAUGUCUGAGAAAGGAUCGUUCAGACUUUUUGACCUAUUUUACAUGAGGAAUAAAGGAUAGAGAAUCUUCUUCCCUUCUGGUCUGACUAGGAAAGCCAGAGGGAGAUGGUGAAGGAGACACAGAGAGAGUAAAAGAACAGACCAUGCCCAGCCUCUCCACUGCAGGAGCUUGGAAUCAGUUCUGGAGGCAGAAGGCUAAGAUCAAGGCACCAGCAAGUUUGGUGUCUCGUGAGGGCUGCUGUCUGCUUCCAAGAUGGCGCCUUGUUGUUGCAUCCUUGGGAGGGGAUGGGGAGAAAAAAACAAAAAGAGGCCUAGGCUGGUUGCCCCUAGCCCUUUUAUAAGGCACUAAUCCAUUCAUGAUGAGGGGAAAGCCCUCAUGACUUAAUCAUCUCGCAAAAGUAACACAUUUUAAUACCAUUACAAUGGGGAUUAGGUUUCUACAUGAAUUCUGGAGGGGACAUAUUCAAACCAUAGCACUCCACUUUCUACUUUCCCUUUUCCUAUUCUCUGUCUCCCUCUCUCCCCUGCCCCAUCUCGGUCACUGGGGUUUGUAUGCAUGUAUACAUAUAUGCAAAAUAUCUAAGUAUUUUGACCGGUGUUAAACACUGACCAUGGAUUCUCCUGGAACCUUUAUUCAACUCAGUUUAUUCUUUUGUAAAUCACAGUCACCAUUCAUUCCAUAAAUUGCCAGUGUACAAUUCAAUGAAUGUGGACAAUGUGAACACACAUAUAACACAACUCACUCAAGAUUUAGAGAGUCCCUUGUGCUCCUUUGUAGGCAAUCUCCAACCCCAUGGCAAUUACUGUUCUGAUUUUUAACACCUAGAUUUGUUCUGCCUUUUUCUGGACUUUAUAUAAAUGGAAUAAUAAACUAUAUGGGGAUUUUUGCUCAACAUUAAUGUUUUUUAAGAUUUAUCCAGUUGUUGCUUAUAUCAAUAAUUCAUUCUUUUUGUUAUUGCUAAAUAGCAACCUAUUGUAUGACUAUUCCACAGUUGUUUUUUGUUUUUAAUCUAUUCUCCUGUUGAUAGACAUUCAGUUUUUUCCCUGUUUUGGCUACUAUGAAUAAGGCUGCUAUGAACCUUCUUGUUGGCAUAUGAUUUUAUUUCUUUUGGGUAACUAUUUAGAAGAGGAAUUUCUAGGUAACAGGAUAGACACAUGUUUAUAAGAAACUGCCAGUUUUCGAAAGUGGUUGUACCAUUAUUAUACUCCCGCCAGCAGUGUUUAAGUUCUAGCUGCUGCACAUUGUCACCAGCAUAUGGUGGCAGUAUUUUAGUUUGGGCCAUUCCAGUGUU